RNAcentral lists this unclassified non-coding RNA (327 nucleotides) under soil metagenome. RNAcentral describes it as "partial contains 5.8S ribosomal RNA, internal transcribed spacer 2, and large subunit ribosomal RNA". The stretch from base 1 to 120 matches the Rfam family "5.8S ribosomal RNA", at positions 35 to 154 of the family's 154-position model. The record is from RNAcentral.
GAUGAAGAACGCAGCGAAAUGCGAUAAGUAAUGUGAAUUGCAGAAUUCAGUGAAUCAUCGAAUCUUUGAACGCACAUUGCGCCCCCUGGUAUUCCGGGGGGCAUGCCUGUCCGAGCGUCAUUACAACCCUCAAGCUCAGCUUGGUGUUGGGCCCCGCCGUCCCGGCGGGCCCUAAAGUCAGUGGCGGUGCCGUCCGGCUCCGAGCGUAGUAAUUCUUCUCGCUCUGGAGGUCCGGUCGUGUGCUCGCCAGCAACCCCCAAUUUUUUCAGGUUGACCUCGGAUCAGGUAGGAUACCCGCUGAACUUAAGCAUAUCAAUAAGCGGAGGA